CCUACGGGUGGCUGCAGUGAGGAAUAUUGGUCAAUGGGCGCAAGCCUGAACCAGCCAUCCCGCGUGAAGGAAGAAGGCGCUAUGCGUCGUAAACUUCUUUUCCAGAGGAAUAAAAUUUUGUACGAGUACGAAACUGAAGGUACUCUGGGAAUAAGCAUCGGCUAACUCCGUGCCAGCAGCCGCGGUAAUACGGAGGAUGCAAGCGUUAUCCGGAUUUAUUGGGUUUAAAGGGUGCGUAGGCGGCAUAAUAGAAAACCUUCAGCUUAACUUGAGACUUGCCAUUGAUACUGUUAGUCUUGAGUAUGGUUAAGGUAGGCGGAAUGUGUAAUGUAGCGGUGAAAUGCUUAGAUAUUACACAGAACACCGAUUGCGAAGGCAGCUUACUGAGCCAUAACUGACGCUGAGGCACGAAAGCGUGGGGAGCGAACAGGAUUAGAUACCCCUGUAGUC
RNAcentral lists this ribosomal RNA (450 nucleotides) under uncultured bacterium. RNAcentral's name for it is "partial 16S ribosomal RNA". It matches the Rfam family "Bacterial small subunit ribosomal RNA", at positions 338 to 795 of the family's 1533-position model. The record is from RNAcentral.